UUUCCACUGGGGGAAAGGGGAGACAUGCCCCCCCCACUUUUUAAAAUCCCGUUUGUGUCCCCCCCACUUUCAAAUUCGUUUGAAAUAAGUU
Molecule: long non-coding RNA, 91 nt
Organism: Sander lucioperca (pikeperch)
Lineage: Eukaryota; Metazoa; Chordata; Actinopteri; Perciformes; Percidae
Exons: 3
Source: RefSeq, a predicted model, not a curated record